AAAAAAGGAAAAAAAAAAAGAACUUUUGUUUUUCCGAGGGAUCAUUAGUUCAAAGUUACUCUGGUGUUGGGUUGCUAUCUUUUAAGAUAGAUCUGUCAACAUCUUGUCAAGCAUAUGUAUAAUGAUCUAAUUAUGCUUAUUGGUACUGAAUUUUUGGUAUUAUUAUCUAAUAUUGAUGACAGUGCCGAUGGAAAUAUAAAGAAACCUUAAUUUUUGGUGCAAUUAUCAUAUAUGGAUAUUGUACUAAUGUUGAUUGUAAUUUGCCAAUUACUCAUUACUUCAUGUUUUUACCAUUUUCAGGUUAUAAUCAGAAAGCAAAGGA
This 322-nucleotide unclassified non-coding RNA is filed under the name Hevea brasiliensis (rubber tree). Lineage: Eukaryota; Viridiplantae; Streptophyta; Magnoliopsida; Malpighiales; Euphorbiaceae. The record is from RNAcentral.